GCCCUUAGAUGUUCUGGGCCGCACGCGCGCUACACUGACAGAGCCAACGAGUUCUUCACCUUGGCCGGAAGGUCCGGGUAAUCUUGUGAAACUCUGUCGUGCUGGGGAUAGAGCAUUGCAAUUAUUGCUCUUCAACGAGGAAUUCCUAGUAAGCGUGAGUCAUCAGCUCGCGUUGAUUACGUCCCUGCCCUUUGUACACACCGCCCGUCGCUACUACC
RNAcentral lists this ribosomal RNA (218 nucleotides) under uncultured Tomentella. RNAcentral's name for it is "partial 18S ribosomal RNA". It matches the Rfam family "Eukaryotic small subunit ribosomal RNA", at positions 1469 to 1686 of the family's 1831-position model. The record is from RNAcentral. Lineage: Eukaryota; Fungi; Basidiomycota; Agaricomycetes; Thelephorales; Thelephoraceae.